Molecule: ribosomal RNA, 496 nt
Filed under: uncultured bacterium
Lineage: Bacteria
Description: partial 16S ribosomal RNA
Rfam family: Bacterial small subunit ribosomal RNA
Source: RNAcentral
GAUGAACGCUGGCGGCGUGCCUAAUACAUGCAAGUCGAGCGAACGGACGAGAAGCUUGCUUCUCUGAUGUUAGCGGCGGACGGGUGAGUAACACGUGGAUAACCUACCUAUAAGACUGGGAUAACUUCGGGAAACCGGAGCUAAUACCGGAUAAUAUUUUGAACCGCAUGGUUCAAAAGUGAAAGACGGUCUUGCUGUCACUUAUAGAUGGAUCCGCGCUGCAUUAGCUAGUUGGUAAGGUAACGGCUUACCAAGGCAACGAUGCAUAGCCGACCUGAGAGGUUGAUCGGCCACACUGGAACGGGGAAACGGUCCAGACUCCUACGGAAGGCAGCAGAGGGGAAUCUUCCGCAAUGGGCGAAAGCCGAACGAGGCAACGCCGCGGGGGUGAUGAGGGUCUUCGGAUCGUAAAACUCUGUUAUUAGGAAAGAACAAAUUUUUAGGUAACAGGGCACAUCUGGACGGUACCUAAUCAGAAAGCCACGGCUAACUACGG